Molecule: long non-coding RNA, 1130 nt
Organism: Alligator sinensis (Chinese alligator)
Lineage: Eukaryota; Metazoa; Chordata; Crocodylia; Alligatoridae
Exons: 3
Source: RefSeq, a predicted model, not a curated record
CAUCCUACCACGAGUAAUCACUUGAUGAACUUUCUCGCUGUUCCAGGGGGGUUUGGAAGUAGGGAGUGAAUUGCCACAGCACAGGAAAUAUUCCAUAUGAAGCCAUAAUACUAGAUGGAGUCACCCAGAAGGUCCAAUCUAGUACUACACUCUUUGGUCCAUUUCUGCUGGAUCCUUCUGAAGAGAUAUUUGGAGCUUGACAUGUGACUGCCCCUGCAAAGCAAAGCAUCUUCAGAUCCAGGACCUGUUGCCUGGCUCCUCCAUUCAGAAGGAAGACCCUGACUCAUGACUUCUAAUCAGCGGAGGUUCAGAUGAAUUUUCCCUGCAGGCAUAUUACUGCGUGGCUGCCCUCCCUGCAGAGUAUCCUGUAUCUUCUUCUGAAACAUCUGGUACUAGCCACACCUGAAGAUAGGUCUAGACAGACCCCUGGUCUGAUCCAGUCUGGACACUGCCUUGUUCCUAUAAAACCCCUUUGGAAAUAGAGUCAGAAACACAGGCUCUGAAUGGCCCAAAGCACAGCAAGCAGACCCCCACACAACCACCAACUUAGAGUUUGUGCAAAGAAGAAGUGAGACGAGCAAGAGGUCUCAGCCCAGUUUCUGGUUAGAGGUGCUUCCCUCAUAACUCCUCCUUUAUGGAAGGCCUGAUUCCCCCUGUGUACAAAGGACUGAGAAUUUAUUCACAAUGCAGUUGUAUCAGUGUAGUGUGGGGAUUCCCAUGCUACCUUCCAGUGAGCUGGCUCAGCCGGCAUGAACAGUCUAGCCACGGCAGCAUGGAGUUACAAAUGGGCCUUAAUGAAUUCUGCUCUCUACAGGGGAUUAUCCUGUACUGAGCUCCAUGUUCCUAUGGUGGGGCUAUUUCCAUUACCCAAGCCAACUCAUUGAAAACAAACCUUGAGGCUGAGAGGGCACAUGAGGCACCAUUUGUAGCCUAAUAAGAUUGAAGGGAUACCGACAAGCAGAAAAUGUGCCAUGGGCAGCCCACUCCUUUUCAGAGCAUUUUUAAACAGAUGCAUGCUGCUGCUACUAACAAACUGGCAUGUGUACAGCUCACUGAAUGGUGAAAUAAAGUCUUGGUACAGCAUCUCUCAGCAAUACUAGGUGCAUCUACACCUGCGCUUUACUGCACAG